UGAAGGAACUGCACUGGCUCCAAUGCCAGAAAAUUAAUUUAAGAUGAGGGUCAAGCUUUAAACAGAAUCCGAUUUGAGUUUAUGGUGUUUUAAGGAACAGGAGACAAAAAAGGAAUUUGUUCGGAAGAAAUGAGUCUGCUUACCCUAAUUGUGAGAAUGGCAAUCCAUCAGAGAUUAGGAGCAGGUCGUCGCUGACACAAUUACAAAUCAAUGGCUGGCAUGUUUCACAGAAUGACACACAGCACUAAAAUAAAGAUCAGUCUGUGACCAAGUAAUGACCACAGACCUUAUAUACAUAUGAAAAUUGGGCUCUGCCGCUUCUUCCGUUCAGCUAAGGCUCUGGUCAUAUGAAACUGCCUUCUGCUAGUUGUGCACUGAAAAUUAACAACUUGAAAAGUAAAAUCCUUUUCAGAUGCUACACAAGCAUUGUGAGCACCACUGAGAAAGCAAACCACAUGGGUUCCUUUCUGCAUGAGAAACAAUUUUGUGUGAAGCAAGUGGCUCUCAUAUGAGGGAGCUGAUCUUACCUGUGGUGAAUUUUUUUGUAACAUAUGAAGGGCUCUUCUGAAGCAGACCAACAUUCCAUCUAGUCCAGCAAUCUGUUUCCCACAGUGGCUUACCAGAUGUCUCUGAGAAACCCCAAAGCAGG
Molecule: long non-coding RNA, 649 nt
Organism: Hemicordylus capensis (graceful crag lizard)
Lineage: Eukaryota; Metazoa; Chordata; Lepidosauria; Squamata; Cordylidae
Exons: 4
Source: RefSeq, a predicted model, not a curated record